UGGUGAUGAUAGCGGAGAGGACACACCCGUUCCCAUCUCGAACACGGAAGUUAAGCUCUCCAGCGCCGAUGGUACUUGGGGCGGGAGCCCCCGGGAGAGUAGGUCGUCGCCA
RNAcentral lists this ribosomal RNA (112 nucleotides) under Collibacillus ludicampi. Lineage: Bacteria; Bacillati; Bacillota; Bacilli; Caryophanales; Alicyclobacillaceae. The record is from RNAcentral.